CCUACGGGAGGCAGCAGUGAGGAAUAUUGGUCAAUGGACGAGAGUCUGAACCAGCCAAGUAGCGUGAAGGAUGACUGCCCAAAGGGUUGUAAACUUCUUUUAUAUGGGAAUAAAGUGUUCCACGCGUGGGAUUUUGUAUGUACCAUAUGAAUAAGGAUCGGCUAACUCCGUGCCAGCAGCCGCGGUAAUACGGAGGAUCCGAGCGUUAUCCGGAUUUCUUGGGUUUAAAGGGAGCGUAGGUGGAUUGUUAAGGCAGUUGUGAAAGUUUGCGGCUCAACCGUAAAAUUGCAGUUGAAACUGGCAGUCUUGAGUACAGGAGAGGUAGGCGGAAU
RNAcentral lists this ribosomal RNA (332 nucleotides) under uncultured bacterium. RNAcentral's name for it is "partial 16S ribosomal RNA". It matches the Rfam family "Bacterial small subunit ribosomal RNA", at positions 338 to 667 of the family's 1533-position model. The record is from RNAcentral.